Molecule: long non-coding RNA, 536 nt
Organism: Pezoporus flaviventris
Lineage: Eukaryota; Metazoa; Chordata; Aves; Psittaciformes; Psittacidae
Exons: 3
Source: RefSeq, a predicted model, not a curated record
CCCACAUGGGCUCUAGCAGCCUGUGUCAACAGUGCAGAGAACAAGUCUCCAGGAACAAAAGUGCAGUUUUCCUCUGGGGACAGGAGGAGCCUCUUUUGAAGUCUCUUUUAUGAUGAGAGUGUAAAAUUAUCAAGACCCACUGAACUGAACAGAGUUUAAAGUGGGAUUUCUGACCAGUCCUUGCUUCUUCUUCCCAGAUGUUUCUCAUGCAAGAAGGGCUCAAGCACAGUGACAACAUCUGCUCUAAGGGCUUUUCAGUUGUGUUAAGGAGCAAGACGGAUCAGCAGCUGCAUGAGAAAUCCUCUUCAAGGAAAGUCACAGACAGUAAGCUCAGCAGGAGCAGAACUCCUUAAGGUGGUUACACACACAGCUGGAUGAACUGGACUCUGUUAGAACUGGACACUGUCCUAACACAACCUGUGAGCGCCAAAGCUCAGGAACAAGCCACUCUCUGCAGUCUCUCCCUGUAUCUGCAACUGUUCCUGUUGCACACAUUUGACACCUGUCUCUAGACAGUGGACGCUCCCCCAUCAAAA